RNAcentral lists this ribosomal RNA (253 nucleotides) under uncultured bacterium. Its description in RNAcentral is "partial 16S ribosomal RNA". It matches the Rfam family "Bacterial small subunit ribosomal RNA", at positions 524 to 776 of the family's 1533-position model. The record is from RNAcentral.
UACGAAGGGGACUAGCGUUGUUCGGAAUUACUGGGCGUAAAGCGCGUGUAGGCGGCAGCGCAAGUCGGGCGUGAAAUCCCACGGCUCAACCGUGGAAGUGCACUCGAAACUGCGCAGCUAGAGUCCUGGAGAGGAAGGUGGAAUGCUUGGUGUAGAGGUGAAAUUCGUAGAUAUCAAGCGGAACACCGGUGGCGAAGGCGGCCUUCUGGACAGUGACUGACGCUGAGACGCGAAAGCGUGGGGAGCAAACAGG